This 473-nucleotide ribosomal RNA is filed under the name uncultured bacterium. Its description in RNAcentral is "SSU rRNA". It matches the Rfam family "Bacterial small subunit ribosomal RNA", at positions 26 to 518 of the family's 1533-position model. The record is from RNAcentral.
AGAGCGAACGCUGGCGGCAGGCUUAACACAUGCAAGUCGAGCGGGCGUAGCAAUACGUCAGCGGCAGACGGGUGAGUAACGCGUGGGAACGUACCUUUUGGUUCGGAACAACACAGGGAAACUUGUGCUAAUACCGGAUAAGCCCUUACGGGGAAAGAUUUAUCGCCGAAAGAUCGGCCCGCGUCUGAUUAGCUAGUUGGUGGGGUAAUGGCCCACCAAGGCGACGAUCGGUAGCUGGUCUGAGAGGACGACCAGCCACACUGGAACUGAGACACGGUCCAGACUCCUACGGGAGGCAGCAGUGGGGAAUAUUGGACAAUGGGGGCAACCCUGAUCCAGCCAUGCCGCGUGGGUGAAGAAGGCCUUCGGGUUGUAAAGCCCUUUGUACCGGGAAGAAAAGCUUGGGGUUAAUAACCUUGAGUCAUGACGGUACCGUAAGAAUAAGCACCGGCUAACUUCGUGCCAGCAGCCGC